Molecule: long non-coding RNA, 1168 nt
Organism: Homo sapiens (human)
Lineage: Eukaryota; Metazoa; Chordata; Mammalia; Primates; Hominidae
Product: long independently transcribed non-coding RNA 621
Exons: 3
Source: RefSeq, marked validated
AGUACUAAAUCAGGAUCAGGACAACCAUUUGAACUGAGUAAACUAACAUAUCUACAUCCACAUCUGUGGGUCUCCUUUGCUUCUGGGCUACUCACUGGCAAAAGUCCUGAGCGGCUCUCACAAUAUCUGCUUUUCCAUCUUCCGGCAAUAGCACCUUCACUGCCAAAUGGCAAUUUAAAACUUGAUCAUCUUUGUCAUUACUAUUUGCAAACUCUGGUGAGCAUUUUGAACAAUCUAGGCCCAGAAGUUCUUGCUGUUGUUUUAAAAUUCCAUCCAUCAAUCUGGAAUUAUUUCUUUUGAAAAUACCUUGGUGGUCGUAGACGCUAAUGUAGGAGAUGCCCACGGCCAUACACCACACCACGAGGCUCUCGAUGUCCGAGAAGCUGGGUUCCUGCUCCACCUCGGUGAUCACCAGGCCCAUGUGCACAGGCAGCUUCUCCAGGGAAGGGCCGUCCGCGCGCCAGCGCACCUGGUGGUGGGCUGCGGGCAGGCACGACCCCCGGCGCGGGUGCGGGUGGUGAUGGCGGUUCCUGCAGACGCCUGGGACUUGCGGAGCGUGAAGCCGAGCGGCGCUAGGACCGCGGCAGAGGCGGCGCGCCGGCACAGUCGCCAGAUCCAGUUCCAAGUGCCGAACCGAACGCGGAGCCAGGAGCUACAGGAAUUUAGCCAAUUCAGAGGAAAUCUUCCCCAUAAUUAUGGAACUUUCUUACAGAUUUUACCAAGUCUGGUCAACCCAAUAAGAAAAAGACUGAAAUAACAACAACAACUUCAACAAAUAAAAAAAAACAGUUAAGCUAAAUAAACAGAUGAUUGCAGAAUUUAUGUGAUUACUGGGUACUCUAAUGGUAAGGAGAAAUUAAGACCAGCUAGUUGUUAAUCUUAACUUUUAGUCAUUAAGGAGAAUUUCCAAGACAAAACUGCAAUCCAGCUGCUUACCUAGGAAUACGGCUUAGGCUGAAAACUUCUAUCGUCUUAGAAAUGGGAAUAAACCUCACACUCACCGUCCCUGUUGGAAGCAAGCUGAAACUCCAAAAAAAAAGUUGCCUGUUGUCCAUCAUCAUGGUGAAGCGGCGUCGUUGUCUGGGAACCCAAUUGGAGACGUUGGAUAUUUUAUCAAGUCUUUGACUGGAAUGACAUUUUUUCAGAAAUAACCAGACUGCUUUGAGGA